GGAUGUGAGGGCGAUCUGGCUGUGACAUGUCACCCCAUUGAUCACCAGGGUUGAUUCAGCUGAUCUGGUUGGCUAGGCAGGUGUCCCCUUCCUUCCUCACCCCUCCACGUGCGUCCCUUCCAAAGCUCCACGACCUUCCCCAAUAGAGGAGGACGUUUCCAAACAAGCUCUCAAGAAAUAUGUAAGUGAUGAGGCCGGGCACUGUGGCUCACGCCUGUAAUC
This 222-nucleotide small RNA is filed under the name Microcebus murinus (gray mouse lemur). RNAcentral's name for it is "7SK RNA (ENSMICG00000045050.1)". The stretch from base 1 to 167 matches the Rfam family "7SK RNA". From Rfam's summary of the family: 7SK was discovered as an abundant small nuclear RNA in the mid-70s but a possible function has only recently been suggested. Two independent studies have found that 7SK RNA binds the CDK9/cyclin T complex (known as elongation factor P-TEFb). Lineage: Eukaryota; Metazoa; Chordata; Mammalia; Primates; Cheirogaleidae. The record is from RNAcentral.